GAGAUAGAGGUGCAAAGCUUAUGAUUCGUUUUCCCGAGCCGCUCAGACGGCGCUGACGGAAAAUCAAAGGAAGCUUUGCCGAAGCCUUUGAUUGUUUGAGAAAUCAAGGGCUGGGCGUCAGGAGAAUAUCCUGCCGACUGUCGCAACAGCGGAGGGCUAUC
Molecule: non-coding RNA, 161 nt
Filed under: human gut metagenome
Description: Lysine riboswitch
Rfam family: Lysine riboswitch aptamer
About the family: Riboswitches are metabolite binding domains within certain messenger RNAs that serve as precision sensors for their corresponding targets. Allosteric rearrangement of mRNA structure is mediated by ligand binding, and this results in modulation of gene expression.
Source: RNAcentral